CGCGACGGCUCAUUAAAUCAGCUAUGAUCUACUUGAUCUUGAGACUACUCCUACUUGGAUAACUGUGGUAAUUCUAGAGCUAAUACAUGCACAAAAGCCCUGACCUCGCAGGAGGGGCGCAUUUAUUAGAGCAAAACCAGGCGACCUUGGUCGUUGUUGCUGACUCAGAAUAACUCAGCUGAUCGCACGGUCUCGUACCGGCGACGUGUCUUUUGAGUAUCUGCCUUAUCAAUUUUCGAUGGUAGUGUAUUUGACUACCAUGGUUUUGACGGGUAACGGAGAAUCAGGGUUCGACUCCGGAGAAGGGGCCCGAGAAAUGGCCACUACGUCUAAGGAUGGCAGCAGGCGCGCAAAUUACCCACUCUCGGAAUGAGGAGGUAGUGACGAGAAAUAACGAGACCGUUCUCUAUGAGGCCGGUCAUCGGAAUGGGUACAAUCUAAACCCUUUAACGAGUAUCUAUGAGAGGGCAAGUCUGGUGCCAGCAGCCGCGGUAAUUCCAGCUCUCAAAGUGCAUAGAACCAUUGUUGCGGUUAAAAAGCUCGUAGUUGAAUCUAGGUCUGAGGCCUGGUCCACACACUGUGUGCGCACUAGGUUCUUUGGCUUUGACGUCGGUUUGCUUGUCGUCGCCUUUACCGGCGGCGGCCGGUGGCUGGCAAUUUUACUUUGAACAAAUCAAAGUGCUCAAAACAGGCGUUUCGCUUGUAUGCUUUUGCAUGGAAUAAUAGAAUAUGACUUCGGUCUGGUUUUAUUGGUUUUAUAGAUCGUUGUAAUGAUUAACAGGGUCAAGCGGGGGCAUUCGUAUUGUUGCGUGAGAGGUGAAAUUCUUGGACCGCAGCAAGACGACCAACAGCGAAAGCAUUUGCCAAGCUUGUCUUCAUUAAUCAAGAACGAAAGUCAGAGGAUCGA
This 907-nucleotide ribosomal RNA is filed under the name Allantonematidae sp. HaMW. RNAcentral describes it as "SSU rRNA". It matches the Rfam family "Eukaryotic small subunit ribosomal RNA", at positions 88 to 1001 of the family's 1831-position model. Lineage: Eukaryota; Metazoa; Nematoda; Chromadorea; Rhabditida; Allantonematidae. The record is from RNAcentral.